Molecule: ribosomal RNA, 452 nt
Filed under: uncultured bacterium
Lineage: Bacteria
Description: bacterial SSU rRNA
Rfam family: Bacterial small subunit ribosomal RNA
Source: RNAcentral
AACGAACGCUGGCGGCAGGCCUAACACAUGCAAGUCGAGCGCCCCGCAAGGGGAGCGGCGGACGGGUGAGUAACGCGUGGGAACGUGCCUCUUGCUACGGAAUAGCCUCGGGAAACUGGGAGUAAUACCGUAUGUGCCCUACGGGGGAAAGAUUUAUCGGCAAGAGAUCGGCCCGCGUUGGAUUAGGUAGUUGGUGGGGUAAUGGCCUACCAAGCCGACGAUCCAUAGCUGGUUUGAGAGGAUGGUCAGCCACACUGGGACUGAGACACGGCCCAGACUCCUACGGGAGGCAGCAGUGGGGAAUCUUAGACAAUGGGCGCAAGCCUGAUCUAGCCAUGCCGCGUGAGCGAUGAAGGCCUUAGGGUUGUAAAGCUCUUUCAGUGGGAAGAUAAUGACUGUACCCACAGAAGAAGCCCGGCUAACUCCGUGCCAGCAGCCGCGGUAAUGUAUCG